GCUGGGAAAAAAAAAAAAAAAAAAAAAGACUCUUGCUGACAGCUUAUUUUGCUCAGUCAAAGGAGAUGUUAAAGGAGAAGAAUUAUCGUGAGUUGCGCUGCUAAAAGACUGAUUCUGCCACAGCUGUUCACAUCAGAGUACUGUCCUGCUUUUAGCGUCCCUUCCACAAAUUAUCCCUUGAAACGACUUGACGUUAAGAGAAGGAAAUAUGUUUCAGAAAAUAUCCAUUGGGGCAUAAGAAACAAAAAAAUAAUCAAACUGCAUCUACUUUUUUGCCUGCUUACUGCAUGCACCAAAUUAAGAGAAAGCAUGAGUGAAAGAGCAGUUAAGAUCCAAGGAAAGAUGCAGCAUAAAUACAUCUUUCACUUUAGCUUUCCAUUCCCACCCCAGCUAAUGCUUUCCUCUAGUCACAGCCCACAGCAAGAUGUGGAGGACAUGGUAUUCCAGUAUGAUGCCAUGCAUGAAAUGAGAUGCGGGACAAGUUAUAAUGACAAGGUUGAUCUGGGACUGUGUGUGGAGGUACUGUUUACCUCACACAACUCAGAGCAACAGAGAGCUGGUUUACCAUGA
Molecule: long non-coding RNA, 570 nt
Filed under: Anser brachyrhynchus (Pink-footed goose)
Lineage: Eukaryota; Metazoa; Chordata; Aves; Anseriformes; Anatidae
Description: lncRNA (ENSABRG00000010146.1)
Source: RNAcentral